Molecule: ribosomal RNA, 253 nt
Filed under: uncultured bacterium
Lineage: Bacteria
Description: partial 16S ribosomal RNA
Rfam family: Bacterial small subunit ribosomal RNA
Source: RNAcentral
GACGAACCGUGCGAACGUUGUUCGGAUUCACUGGGCUUAAAGGGCGCGUAGGCGGGCGGCCAAGUCAGGGGUGAAAUCUUUCGGCUCAACCGGAAAAGUGCCUUUGAUACUGGUCGCCUCGAGGGAGGUAGGGGCAUGUGGAACUUCCGGUGGAGCGGUGAAAUGCGUAGAUAUCGGAAGGAACGCCGGUGGCGAAAGCGGCGUGCUGGACCUCUUCUGACGCUGAGGCGCGAAAGCCAGGGGAGCGAACGGG